RNAcentral lists this ribosomal RNA (780 nucleotides) under uncultured archaeon. RNAcentral's name for it is "bacterial SSU rRNA". It matches the Rfam family "Archaeal small subunit ribosomal RNA", at positions 39 to 838 of the family's 1478-position model. The record is from RNAcentral.
UGAUGUCUAAGCCAUGCGAGUCAUUGUAGCAUACAAGGCAUACGGCUCAGUAACGCGUAGUCAACCUAACCUAUGGACGGGAAUAACCUCGGGAAACUGAGAAUAAUGCCCGAUAGAACACUAUACCUGGAAUGGUUUGUGUUCCAAAUGAUUUAUCGCCAUAGGAUGGGACUGCGGCCUAUCAGUUUGUUGGUGAGGUAAUGGCCCACCAAGACUAUUACAGGUACGGGCUCUGAGAGGAGUAGCCCGGAGAUGGGUACUGAGACACGGACCCAGGCCCUAUGGGGCGCAGCAGGCGAGAAAACUUUGCAAUGUGCGAAAGCACGACAAGGUUAAUCCGAGUGAUUUGUGCUAAACGAAUCUUUUGUUAGUCCUAGAAACACUAACGAAUAAGGGGUGGGCAAGUUCUGGUGUCAGCCGCCGCGGUAAAACCAGCACCUCAAGUGGUCAGGAUGAUUAUUGGGCCUAAAGCAUCCGUAGCCGGCUCUGUAAGUUUUCGGUUAAAUCUGUACGCUUAACGUACAGGCUGCCGGGAAUACUGCAAAGCUAGGGAGUGGGAGAGGUAGACGGUACUCGGUAGGAAGUGGUAAAAUGCUUUGAUCUAUCGAUGACCACCUGUGGCGAACGCGGUCUACCAGAACACGUCCGACGGUGAGGGAUGAAAGCUGGGGGAGCAACCGGGAUUAGAUACCCAGGUAGUUCCAGCUGGUAACCUAUGCCAACUUCAGUGAUGCAUUUGGGCUUGGUGGACCCAAUGCAAGUGGCUUGCCAAGGGUCAGC